AUUGAACGCUGGCGGCAGGCCUAACACAUGCAAGUCGAGCGGAUGAAGGGAGAUUGCUCCUGGAUUCAGCGGCGGACGGGGGAGUAAUGCCUAGGAAUCUGCCUGGUAGUGGGGGAUAACGUCUGGAAACGGGCGCUAAUACCGCAUACGUCCUGAGGGAGAAAGUGGGGGAUCUUCGGACCUCACGCUAUCAGAUGAGUAUAGGUCGGAUUACCUAGUUGGUGGGGUAAAGGCCUACCAAGGCGACGAUCCUUAACUGGUCUGAGAGGAUGAUCAGUCACACUGGAACUGAGACACUGUCCAGACUCCUACGGGAUGCAUCAGUGUAGCAUCUUGAACAAUGGUCAAAAGCCUUAUCCAACCAUGCCUCGUGUGUGAAGAAGGUCUUCUGAUUGUAAAGCACUUUAAGUUGGGAGUAAUUGCACUAAGUUAAUACCUUGCUGUUUUAACGUUACCAACAAAAUAAGCACCGGCUAACUUCGUG
This 484-nucleotide ribosomal RNA is filed under the name uncultured bacterium. Its description in RNAcentral is "partial 16S ribosomal RNA". It matches the Rfam family "Bacterial small subunit ribosomal RNA", at positions 30 to 507 of the family's 1533-position model. The record is from RNAcentral.